Schistocerca cancellata (South American locust) is the source of this 410-nucleotide long non-coding RNA. RefSeq lists it as uncharacterized. The transcript is spliced from 3 exons. The record is from RefSeq and is a predicted model, not a curated record. NCBI's taxonomy places the organism in Eukaryota, Metazoa, Arthropoda, Insecta, Orthoptera, Acrididae.
CAGUAUAUCUUCGGCGCGAAACCUAUACCACAUGGCGCAAAAACUGAUACACUGUCGAUUGUUAUUUGGGCGCGAAGAAAAGUGUUUCAACUACGGUAAAUUCGUGGACUAUAUUUUCUGUUGAAUAUGUCAGGGAAAAAAGAUGAUACAGAGAAGUUUAUUGAUGACUAUAUAAAGGUGGCACAAAAAUGUGUUAUGCGAUGCGUGUCGCUGUUUGCUACCACUGUUACUCCAGAGGAGAUGGAGUGCAUUAGACAAUGCAUUAGACAGGAAAUGAGGAUCAUGCGGCAGCGUAAAAACAAUAGAUUACCAAAAGCCAUAAAGUAAAAGUGUUCUGGAUAAGUGAACUGAAAUAGAAUUGAUGUUAACACGAUUUCUCUAAAAUAAAUAUUUAUUAAUAAAAAUGAUUG